UGAAGGAGGAAAAAAUAAAAAAAACAAGGAUUGCCGAGCCUGAACUCGAACCCCCCUCGGUAUGGAACCAAACGCAAUCCGCUACAACAAACUGGAAAUGCCGGUUCCACAAUCAUCCCGUGAGGUAUCAAUGCUUCCGAAGCUCCCAGCACGCGAACUGAGACGCUUCAACUUCCACGUUUCUGAGUCCGGGCUCCACUUUUCUCUCCGGGGUCAAACUGUUCAGCAGCUGGAGGAAAAGCGAGGCCGCGCUCGAUAUGAGCAGCGGUGAGAGGACGACUAACAAACCGCCGCUACGACUACGGAACGAAAACAUCACAUCUUUGACAAACGAGGCCAUGACUGUGGGCCACAGUGAAGGAAGGAAGUGAGG
Molecule: long non-coding RNA, 373 nt
Organism: Thalassophryne amazonica
Lineage: Eukaryota; Metazoa; Chordata; Actinopteri; Batrachoidiformes; Batrachoididae
Exons: 3
Source: RefSeq, a predicted model, not a curated record